This 1346-nucleotide ribosomal RNA is filed under the name uncultured bacterium. RNAcentral describes it as "partial 16S ribosomal RNA". It matches the Rfam family "Bacterial small subunit ribosomal RNA", at positions 28 to 1381 of the family's 1533-position model. The record is from RNAcentral.
GACGAACGCUGGCGGCGUGCUUAACACAUGCAAGUCGAACGGAAAGGCCCUGCUUUUGUGGGGUGCUCGAGUGGCGAACGGGUGAGUAACACGUGAGUAACCUGCCCUUGACUUUGGGAUAACCUCAGGAAACUGGGGCUAAUACCGGAUAGGAGCUCCUGCUGCAUGGUGGGGGUUGGAAAGUUUCGGCGGUUGGGGAUGGACUCGCGGCUUAUCAGCUUGUUGGUGGGGUAGUGGCUUACCAAGGCUUUGACGGGUAGCCGGCCUGAGAGGGUGACCGGCCACAUUGGGACUGAGAUACGGCCCAGACUCCUACGGGAGGCAGCAGUGGGGAAUAUUGCACAAUGGGCGGAAGCCUGAUGCAGCAACGCCGCGUGCGGGAUGACGGCCUUCGGGUUGUAAACCGCUUUCGCCUGUGACGAAGCGUGAGUGACGGUAAUGGGUAAAGAAGCACCGGCUAACUACGUGCCAGCAGCCGCGGUGAUACGUAGGGUGCGAGCGUUGUCCGGAUUUAUUGGGCGUAAAGGGCUCGUAGGUGGUUGAUCGCGUCGGAAGUGUAAUCUUGGGGCUUAACCCUGAGCGUGCUUUCGAUACGGGUUGACUUGAGGAAGGUAGGGGAGAAUGGAAUUCCUGGUGGAGCGGUGGAAUGCGCAGAUAUCAGGAGGAACACCAGUGGCGAAGGCGGUUCUCUGGGCCUUUCCUGACGCUGAGGAGCGAAAGCGUGGGGAGCGAACAGGCUUAGAUACCCUGGUAGUCCACGCUGUAAACGGUGGGUACUAGGUGUGGGGUCCAUUCCACGGGUUCCGUGCCGUAGCUAACGCUUUAAGUACCCCGCCUGGGGAGUACGGCCGCAAGGCUAAAACUCAAAGGAAUUGACGGGGCCCCGCACAAGCGGCGGAGCAUGCGGAUUAAUUCGAUGCAACGCGUAGAACCUUACCUGGGUCUGACAUGGAUCGGGAGUGCUCAGAGAUGGGUGUGCCUCUUUUGGGGUCGGUUCACAGGUGGUGCAUGGCUGUCGUCAGCUCGUGUCGUGAGAUGUUGGGUUAAGUCCCGCAACGAGCGCAACCCUUGUUCACUGUUGCCAGCACGUUAUGGUGGGGACUCAGUGGAGACCGCCGGGGCCAACUCGGAGGAAGGUGGGGAUGACGUCAAGUCAUCAUGCCCCUUAUGUCCAGGGCUUCACGCAUGCUACAAUGGCUGGUACAGAGAGUGGCGAGCCUGUGAGGGUGAGCGAAUCUCGGAAAGCCGGUCUCAGUUCGGAUUGGGGUCUGCAACUCGACCUCAUGAAGUCGGAGUCGCUAGUAAUCGCAGAUCAGCAACGCUGCGGUGAAUACGUUCCCGGGGCU